Molecule: small nucleolar RNA, 107 nt
Organism: Dendrobium catenatum
Lineage: Eukaryota; Viridiplantae; Streptophyta; Magnoliopsida; Asparagales; Orchidaceae
Source: RefSeq, a predicted model, not a curated record
AAAAUAUGAUGAGGGAAUUUCCUAAGCAUUUUCUUAAAUCACUCCCAACUUUCAUAAAUUGAUUCUCCCUUAAAUUGGGAAAAAGUUGUGAUAUUAUUUUUGAGUUU